UAUGGAAACAAGAGCAUGAAAUAUCUCAAUUUCUACGUCUCUUAUGAAUUGAAUACGAAUGUUCUGCACUAGGUUGAACCGUUCGCAAAGAACUGAGCUCUUCAGAUGUCAGAAACAGGAGCUAGAUUCCGAGGUGUUUCCAAAUAAUCUGGCAGGGACUAGCGGAUCGCACAUAGGAACGCAGUUUCUGUGGUGUGAAAGAGUAGAAAAUGGAAGAGUAAGGAAAACUAAUCGUCAUGGUUGUAAAUCUCAGCGUAAUGAGACGCCCUGCCAUUUGACAUAGGAUCGUUGGACAGAUUGRAAAAAAAAAGGAGUCUGGAAUCUGUAGCGCUGUAAGGACCUCAAGCAGYGUAUCCCUACGAUAGGAUGGCGUCCGAAAGACCUGUUGUCUCGAACUUUGAUGUUCAUUGGUGGAACGUACAGUUCUUCUUUGGCAUCAGGCAAGGAGUGGUUGUUUCGUCCCUCAUGCCAGACGUUCAUCACUAAAGCGCUCGACGCCAGUGUCAUCCAGUUGAGAUUUAGAAGUUAUAUUUUUGGAGGGAGAAAAACCGRAGAACCUGGAGAAAGACCCUUGAAGCAUAGGAGUGAACCAACAAGCAGUUCAGUUCAACAGAAGGGGUGAACCCCCAACCACAGAAGGGGUGCAUUAGCACCGCACGCCAUCCGCCCUACACACAAGCGCGUGCGCACACCUACCACAUCAAAGAAGAACAACGGUUGAUCAAAGUUUGGAUUCUUGUUAGUAUUCUUGAUGGCGUCAGAUUGAAUCACGUGACCACCACAUUCAAACUCGACGCUUGGAGACGUGACGUUUGCCAACUGAUAUUUCUUCAUGUUCCUCACACCCCAACACAACACCUAAAAUAACACAUUAAAUAAAUAAACUCAAAAUAGACCUUUUUUCAA
Molecule: long non-coding RNA, 906 nt
Organism: Actinia tenebrosa (Australian red waratah sea anemone)
Lineage: Eukaryota; Metazoa; Cnidaria; Anthozoa; Actiniaria; Actiniidae
Source: RefSeq, a predicted model, not a curated record